RNAcentral lists this ribosomal RNA (449 nucleotides) under uncultured bacterium. RNAcentral describes it as "partial 16S ribosomal RNA". It matches the Rfam family "Bacterial small subunit ribosomal RNA", at positions 29 to 523 of the family's 1533-position model. The record is from RNAcentral.
AACGAACGCUGGCGGCAGGCCUAACACAUGCAAGUCGAACGCAUCCUUCGGGGUGAGUGGCGCACGGGUGAGUAACACGUGGGAAUGUGCCCUUUGGUUCGGAAUAACGUCUGGAAACGGACGCUAAUACCGGAUGUCCCCUGUGGGGGAAAGAUUUAUCGCCAAAGGAGCAGCCCGCGUCGGAUUAGGUAGUUGGUGGGGUAACGGCCUACCAAGCCGACGAUCAGUAGCUGGUCUGAGAGGAUGAUCAGCCACACUGGGACUGAGACACGGCCCAGACUCCUACGGGAGGCUGCAGUGGGGAAUCUUCCACAAUGGGCGAAAGCCUGAUGGGGCAACGCCGCGUGAAGGAUGAAGGCCCUCGGGCUGUAAACUUCUUUUAUAAGUGAAGAAUAUGACGGUAACUUAUGAAUAUGCACCGGUUAACUACGUGCCAGCAGCCGCCGUAA